UGCAUCGAUGAAGAACGCAGCGAAACGCGAUAGGUAAUGUGAAUUGCAGAAUUCCGUGAAUCAUCGAAUCUUUGAACGCACCUUGCGCCCCAUGGCAUUCCGUGGAGCAUGCCUGUUUGAGUGCCGCGAAAUCUCCCACCCCUAGCGGUUGCCGCAAGGCGCCGCCGGGCGGCGGGGUUGGUUGGGUGCCGCUGCCUGGGCUUUGGCCCAGGCUCGCCCGAAAUGCAUGAGCGCUUAGCACUCGCACCGUCUCGAGGGAAGGCGGCGGAGCUGGCAUCUGCGCAUGGCAUGAUACGUCAUUUGCUGUGUGGCAGCCCAGCGACCCGAGAGUGUGUGUGCGCUACUACACGCCCUUUCAUUUCUGGUCUCAAAUCAGGUAGGAUCACCCGCUGAACUUAAGCAUAUCAAUAAGCGGAGGA
This 419-nucleotide ribosomal RNA is filed under the name uncultured fungus. RNAcentral describes it as "eukaryotic LSU rRNA". The stretch from base 1 to 126 matches the Rfam family "5.8S ribosomal RNA", at positions 29 to 154 of the family's 154-position model. Lineage: Eukaryota; Fungi. The record is from RNAcentral.